This is a long non-coding RNA of Hydractinia symbiolongicarpus, 620 nucleotides long. RefSeq lists it as uncharacterized. The record is from RefSeq and is a predicted model, not a curated record. NCBI's taxonomy places the organism in Eukaryota, Metazoa, Cnidaria, Hydrozoa, Anthoathecata, Hydractiniidae. The transcript has 2 exons.
AGUCUCUGCGGUAUGUUACUUCACCCCGCUGGAUUUCAAUCGACCCCCAUUGAGUUUAAAUUAAACAUACAAAUAAAAGAUUUUAAUCAAAAUGACAACAAAACAAAAAAGAAAGAAUACGUGAUAGGUUGUUGUGGGUAAAAAAUGUUUUGGUACGUGAACAAAAAAACAUGUGAAUUUGUAACGCGUGACUGGAUAUGACGUCAUCAGUUUUAAUCUAAUUUUCCAUGAAAAAUAUAUCAACAAAGGACCUCACUUCCUUGUUGUUGCGAAUGUUUUCAACACUCUGCAGUGUAUAGAAGAUAUUGAGUUAGAAAACAUUCUACAGUGAAAUUAAAGCUGUUGAAGACGUGAUUUCUAAAGCGUGUUUGAAAAGAUGAGAGGAGCGACAUAUAUGAAAGUAGCCUUACUUAUUUUUGCCAUAUUGCAACUAUCUUACGCCUUUACAGGAGCUGGCAUUGGAGAUUUUACAAGAAUCGGAAAAAGGAGUUACGGCCAGGAACAUCCAAUCCAACGUACAUGUAGACAAGUCUUAGAAAUUUGCAUGGAGUACAGAAAAAAAAGAAAAUGAAUAAAUAAAUAAAUUUUAUCAUCAAAAUAAAACUUAUAAUAGUAAAUAA